UUCUCAGGCUCCCUCUCCGGAAUCGAACCCUAAUUCUCCGUCACCCGUUAAUGCCACGGUAGUCCACUACAGUACCGUCGAAAGCUGAUAGGGCAGAAAUUUGAAUGAACUGUCGCCAGCGUGAAGCCGUGCGAUCCGUUAAAGUUACUAUGAAUCACCAAAGGAGCAGUUGCCUGCAUUGGUUUUUAAUCUAAUAAAUACAUCCCUUCCAAAAAGUCGGGACUUUACGCAUGUAUUAGCUCUAGAAUUACUACGGGUAUCCAUGUAGUAAGGUACCAUCAAAUAAAUAAUAACUGAUAUAAUGAGCUGUACGCAGUUUCACUGUAUAAAGAUGUUUAUACUUAGACAUGCAUGGCUUAAUCUUUGAGACAAGCAUAUGACUACUGGCAGGAUCAACCAG
RNAcentral lists this ribosomal RNA (400 nucleotides) under uncultured eukaryote. Its description in RNAcentral is "partial 18S ribosomal RNA". The record is from RNAcentral.